Molecule: ribosomal RNA, 232 nt
Filed under: uncultured bacterium
Lineage: Bacteria
Description: partial 16S ribosomal RNA
Rfam family: Bacterial small subunit ribosomal RNA
Source: RNAcentral
CGGACGGGUGAGUAAUGUAUGGGGAUCUGCCUGAUGGCGGGGGAUAACUACUGGAAACGGUAGCUAAUACCGCAUAAUGUCUGUGGACCAAAGCGGGGGACCUCCGGGCCUCGCGCCAUCAGAUGAACCCAUAUGGGAUUAGCUUGUAGGUAAGGUAACGGCUUACCUAGGCGACGAUCCCUAGCUGGUCUGAGAGGAUGACCAGCCACACUGGAACUGAGACACGGUCCAG